UGUGCCAAGCAGCCGCGGUAAUUCCAGCUCCAAUAGCGUAUAUUAAAGUUGUUGCGGUAAAAAAGCUCGUAGUUGGAUUUCUGUUGAAGACGUCCGGUCCAUACCACGUAUGCGCAUCUGGCUCGGCUUCGGCAUCCUCUCGAAAGACGUUUCUGCGCUUGAUUGCGUGGAGCGGAUCUCGGGACUUUUACUUUGAGGAAAUUAGAGUGUUCACGGCAGGCUAUCGCCAGAAUACAUUAGCAUGGAAUAAUACUAUAGGAUCUCGGUUCUAUUUUGUUGGUUUCUAGAAUUGAGAUAAUGAUUAAUAGGGACAAUUGGGGGCAUUCGUAUCAACACGUUAGAGGUGAAAUUCUUGGAUCGUGUUGCGACGAACUACUGCGAAAGCAUUUGCCAAGGAUGUUUUCAUUGAUCAAGAACGAAAGUAAGGGGAUCGAAGACGAUUAGAUACCGUCGUAGUCUUUACCAUAAACUAUGCCAACUAGAGAUGGGACAUCGUUCACUUAAGACUUGUUCCGCACCUUAUGAGAUAUCAAAGUCUUUGGGUUCCGGGGGGAGUAUGGUCGCAAGUCUGAAACUUAAAGGAAUUGACGGAAGGGCACCACCAGGAGUGGAGCCUGCGGCUUAAUUUGACUCAACACGGGGAAACUCACCAGGUCCAGACAUAAUAAGGAUUGACAGAUUGAUAGCUCUUUCUUGAUUUUAUGGGUGGUGGUGCAUGGCCGUUCUUAGUUCGUGGAGUGAUUUGUCUGCUUAAUUGCGUUAACGAACGAGACCUUAACCUGCUAAAUAGGAGCGCCUAUCUCCGGAUAAGCGCCUUUCUUCUUAGAGGGACUUUAUGCGUUUCAGCAUGAGGAAGUUUGAGGCUAAAACAGGUCUGUGAUGCC
RNAcentral lists this ribosomal RNA (884 nucleotides) under uncultured eukaryote. Its description in RNAcentral is "SSU rRNA". It matches the Rfam family "Eukaryotic small subunit ribosomal RNA", at positions 563 to 1471 of the family's 1831-position model. The record is from RNAcentral.